GGAUGCGAUGAUACCAGCACUAAAGCACCGGAUCCCAUCAAAACUCCGAAGUUAAGCAUGCUUGGGCGAGAGUAGUACUAUGAUGGGUGACCUCCUGGGAAGUCCUCGUGUUGCAUUCC
Molecule: ribosomal RNA, 119 nt
Filed under: Triticum aestivum (bread wheat)
Lineage: Eukaryota; Viridiplantae; Streptophyta; Magnoliopsida; Poales; Poaceae
Source: RNAcentral